This 90-nucleotide transfer RNA is filed under the name Candidatus Nomurabacteria bacterium RIFCSPHIGHO2_01_FULL_43_16. RNAcentral describes it as "tRNA-Ser". It matches the Rfam family "tRNA". Rfam says of the family: Transfer RNA (tRNA) molecules are approximately 80 nucleotides in length. Their secondary structure includes four short double-helical elements and three loops (D, anti-codon, and T loops). The record is from RNAcentral. Lineage: Bacteria; Candidatus Nomuraibacteriota. RNAcentral also lists the same sequence under 3 other names.
GGAGGGUUCGCAUAGCGGUCUAGUGCGCCACCUUGGAAAGGUGGUAUGGGAGCAAUCUCAUCGAGGGUUCAAAUCCCUCACCCUCCGCCA